UCAAGGUUUCCAGGGGAAGGUUCGUCCGCCCUGGGUUAGUCGGGACCUAAGCCGAGGCCGAAAGGCGUAGGUGAUGGACAACAGGUUGAUAUUCCUGUACCGCCAAUAAGCGUUUGAGAGAUGGAGUGACACAGUAGGAUAAGCUAACCGUACUGUUGGUUAUGUACGGCUAAGCAUUGAGGCAGUCUAAAUAGGCAAAUCCGUUUAGACAAUGCUAGGAUGUGAUGGGGAAGCCCUUCGGGGCGAAGUAGCUGAUUUCACACUGUCAAGAAAAGCUUCUACCGAGUUUAAAGGCGCCCGUACCGUAAACCGCCACAGGUGGGUGAGGAGAGUAUCCUAAGGCCAGCGAGAGAACUAUUGUUAAGGAACUCGGCAAAAUGACCCCGUAACUUAGGGAGAAGGGGUGCCUGUCUAUGACAGGCCGCAGAGAAUAGGCCCAAGCGACUGUUUACCAAAAACACAGGUUUCUGCUAAGUCGCAAGACGAUGUAUAGGAGCUGACGCCUGCCCGGUGCUGGAAGGUUAAGGGGAUCUGUUAGAGCAAUCGAAGCAGUGAACUUAAGCCCCAGUAAACGGCGGCCGUAACAAUAACGGUCCUAAGGUAGCGAAAUUCCUUGUCGGGUAAGUUCCGACCCGCACGAAAGGCGUAACGAUUUGGGCACUGUCUCAACAAUAGACUCGGUGAAAUUGUAAUCCCGGUGAAGAUGCCGGGUACCUGCGACAGGACGGAAAGACCCCAUGGAGCUUUACUGUAGCUUGACGUUGGGUCUUGGUACUACAUGUACAGGAUAGGUGGGAGACUAUGAAGCAUGGACGCCAGUCUGUGUGGAGUCAUCCUUGGGAUACCACCCUUGUAGUACUGGGAUCCUAACCAUAGGCCUUGAAUCAGGUCUUGGAACACCGUCAGGUGGGCAGUUUGACUGGGGCGGUCGCCUCCUAAAAAGUAACGGAGGCGCUCAAAGGUUUCCUCAGCACGGUCGGAAAUCGUGCGAAGAGUGUAAAGGCAAAAGGAAGCUUGAUUGCAAGACAUACAGGUCGAGCAAGGACGAAAGUCGGACUUAGUGAUCCGGUGGUACCGCAUGGAAGGGCCAUCGCUCAACGGAUAAAAGCUACCCUGGGGAUAACAGGCUUAUCUCCCCCAAGAGUCCACAUCGACGGGGAGGUUUGGCACCUCGAUGUCGGCUCAUCACAUCCUGGGGCUGUAGUAGGUCCCAAGGGUUGGGCUGUUCGCCCAUUAAAGUGGUACGCGAGCUGGGUUCAGAACGUCGUGAGACAGUUCGGUCCCUAUCCGUCGCAGGCGUGGGAAAUUUGAGAAGACCUGUCCUUAGUACGAGAGGACCGGGAUGGACGUACCUCUGGUGUACCAGUUGUUCUGCCAAGGGCAUGGCUGGGUAGCUAUGUACGGAAUGGAUAAGCGCUGAAAGCAUCUAAGCGCGAAGCCAACUUCAAGAUAAGAUUUCCCACCGUAAGGGUAAGACCCCAGGAAGACUACCUGGUUGAUAGGUCGAAGGUGUAAGUGCAGUAAUGUAUUUAGCUUAUCGAUACUAAUAGGUCGAGGACUUGACC
Molecule: ribosomal RNA, 1565 nt
Filed under: metagenome
Description: bacterial LSU rRNA
Rfam family: Bacterial large subunit ribosomal RNA
Source: RNAcentral